UGGCUGGCGGAAGGCCUGCAGCGAGCGCCGGGAGUUACCCGCUGCGCUACGGUUCGGGCUGUCGCUGUCCUCGGAGUAGGGGAUGGUGCUGUGUUAUCCAGCUGGGAACUAUAAACUUGAGGUCGAAUGCACAGUGUGUGGGGAGAGCGGGAACGGAGGGAGGAAAGGCUGUGCGGCGCAGCGUGCAACAACUGAGAAAAACUUUCCUCAAAGUGAAAUAAAAUAAUGUCAGCAUGAAAAAUCUACUGAAAAAGACAUGGUUUGAGUUUGCACUCUAGAUACCCUGCAGGGUAAUACUUGUCUUACAAGAACUGAAUUCACAUGUCUCCAUGAAACCUGUUGAAAGAAGCUAUGUUGUGAGGAUAUUUUUAUGUGGAGC
Molecule: long non-coding RNA, 379 nt
Organism: Lemur catta (Ring-tailed lemur)
Lineage: Eukaryota; Metazoa; Chordata; Mammalia; Primates; Lemuridae
Exons: 3
Source: RefSeq, a predicted model, not a curated record